UGGCGCCCUAGUAAACGGAAAAACCGAAAAAAAAAAAACUGCGGCCGUCACCGUGCUGGUUGAGGUGUGAGAUGGUUUGGGGUUUUAUAGGGUUUAAGGCUGUGCGGAGGAAACCCUAGCUUGCUUUUAGGAGGAGAAAUGGAGGGCUUAAACGUUUCAGAUGCUAAUUUGAUCGUGCACUUACAUCCCUCGAAGAGUAACAACAUAUACGACGCGAUCCUCCGCGAGCUCAGCUCGUUGCUUUUCAAGUUUAAUGAAAAUUUUGAUGGUGUUGUGUUGGCUUAUGAGUUCAACAUUCUAGAUAAGAAUGCGAAGAUUCUAAUUGGGAUUCAUCCUUUUUUCGGUGUGAGACUAAAAGCGAAGUUGUUACUUUUUUCUCCUAAACCUGAUAUGCUUUUAGAAGGGAAAGUGGUGAAACUUUCUCAAGGAUCCAUUCAUCUUAUUGUUCUUGGCUUUUCAUCUGCUACUAUAAUAGAUGAGGACAUUCGUGAAGAAUUUCUAUUCAAAACUAAACAUGAAGAGGAAGUAUUUAUUAGCAAAUUUCACAAGCGGCAUGUGAUAAAGAUUGGAAAUAUGCUAAGGUUCCUAGUCAAAAGUUUUGAUGAGGAAAUACUGCAUAUAUCUGGCUCUCUAGUUCCACCUCACACUGGAAGCAUUUGGUGGUUAGAUAGACAUUCAAAAGAAGUUUCACAACCUGACAGGGGUAACAAGAGCAGAGAAGCUGAGGAAGAAACCAUCCUGCAGGCGAAUGGUACUGUUGGUGGCACAGAGGUAUUUUCGAUCAACAAUGACCACAAAAUCAAGAAGUCAAAAAGAAAAAGGAUAAGAGAAGAAAGCUGAAGGCUGCUAUAGGGUGUUCAUUGUGCUUAUUUUGUUCUCAGGUCAUUUUUAAAUCCCCUAUAGAAUCAAAUGCAUUUGUUUUGAAACUAGAUGAAAAGUUAUCCGGGUCAAAAAGUGGAUACUUGUGUUUAUUAACAAAUUGAAUUUGACUUUCAUGACUUGGCAUGAGCAGAUGAUGUGAAAGAGAUCAAAAAAUUUAGCCCAACUAGUGACUACUACAAGUAAACCAUUGUAGUUUUGCAGAGAUCUAUUUUUAAUGAGUAGAUCCCUGUAUGAACUCUCUGACAGACUCACUUUUAACCUCAAUUUUUCUAGGUUCAAGUCCAUUAUAACCAGUAAUAAUGAUUUAGGCAAGUUGGAAUUCUUGAUAUGUACUGAGUGUGGAGUUCUUGCUGUCACCUCUAGGAAUUUAAAGAGGUUUUUGAAAUGUAUUUAUGACUGGUGAAUCGCUUUAUGUCCAGAGGCCUGCUGAUGCAAAGUUCAAGGGGAACGUUGUAGAAUGAAGAACCUAAACCAUUAAAUUUUUAACUUACCAUUUCAAUUUGCAAUGCUCCUUUUACAGUUUUGCUGUAUAAUAUAGCCAUUCCCCCCCUUUAUGAUUUUGAAGGGCUUAGUUACUUUUUUUUCGUUUUUAAGGGCUUAGUUGUUUAGGUUAUGUUCGUUAGUAUUUUCAAGGCUUGUUGUAAUAUUCAUUUGUAAACUUCACACUGAUUUUAGUGCCAGAACACCUUCAUGCUAGUGCA
Molecule: RNA transcript, 1583 nt
Organism: Ziziphus jujuba (common jujube)
Lineage: Eukaryota; Viridiplantae; Streptophyta; Magnoliopsida; Rosales; Rhamnaceae
Exons: 7
Source: RefSeq, a predicted model, not a curated record